RNAcentral lists this ribosomal RNA (944 nucleotides) under Aphanomyces sp. Its description in RNAcentral is "partial large subunit ribosomal RNA". The record is from RNAcentral. Lineage: Eukaryota; Oomycota; Saprolegniomycetes; Saprolegniales; Verrucalvaceae.
GGAAGAGCUCAAGCUUAAAAUCUCCACGCAAGUGGCGAAUUGUAGUCUAUUGAGGCUGUUGUCAGCAGAGCGACCUGAASKWAAASUCCCGYUGSAAGAGGGCAKYAWASASGGUGAUACUCCCGUCUUUGCCCAGGUUGUCUUUGUGUACGACACGCUUUCUUUGAGUCGAGUUGUUUGGGAAUGCAGCUCAAAGUAGGUGGUAAAUUCCAUCUAAAGCUAAAUAUUGGUGCGAGACCGAUAGCGAACAAGUACCGUGAGGGAAAGAUGAAAAGAACUUUGAAAAGAGAGUUAAAGAGUACCUGAAACUGUUGAAAGGGAACCGUAUCGUGUCCAGUGUGUAUCCUAUGCAUAUUUCAUUGGCGGUCGCAAGAUUGCUGGUGCCCUGUGUAUGGGUGUGACGUCAGAGUCAGUUGAGAUUGCGGGAGAUGGGUAGUGAGGAGGUGCGUCACUUCGGUGAAAGUUACAGCUCGCUGCCUAGUAGCCGUGGUCAAGACUGAGGUGCCUACAACAUGCUCUGGGGUCUGCUGCUGUCUCGUGUUGUUGAUUGCCUGGAUAGCUUGCUAUGCUGGUGAUGAAGGAUGCGAUUGGCGGUAGUAGUAACCUCUGCUGUUCGGGACUCUGGCGAAAUGGAGCGAUACGACCCGUCUUGAAACACGGACCAAGGAGUCUAACAUGUGUGCAAGUAUUAGGGUGUGGAAACCCCAAUGCGCAAUGAAAGUAAAGGGCACUUUUGUGUCUGAGGUAGGAAGGAGCUGUCAUGGCUCUGGCACUAUCGACCGAUCAUGAACCUCCGGGUGAAAGAUUUGAGUAUGAGCAUAUAUGUUGGUACCCGAAAGAUGGUGAACUAUGCCUGAAUAGGGUGAAGCCAAGGGGAAACUCUGGGUGGAAGCUCGUAGCGAUUCUGACGUGCAAAUCGAUCGUCAAAUUUGGGUAUAGGGGCG